ACUUAACAUUCUUUUUCUUCUACCCCUGGGGAGCACCCGUCCCUAGAAUAAGUACCCCUGAACCAACCAAUCACGGAUAGUCAUGUGGCGAAUGCGGAUAGGUACACGUAAGAGGGGGCAGAGCAUCAGACACAUCACAGCCAAAUGAGUUGUUUAUCAUAAAGAGCUCUCGCCGUCGGGAUGGCGGAAGGCGGAAACCAGCGCCAUCUUUAAGGCGCGGCACACGCAGCUCUCCACAUAAAGAAAGUUAUACAAGACCAGAAGGCCUAGUUCAGAGACCAGAACUCGAAGGUUAACUGGGCUAAGCAGACAGCCAAUAUUUUGACCCUGGCACUUCAAGGUAUACAAACAACUCAGGACAUGAAGAACAUUUCUACAAGAUCCUACAACUUUAAUCAAUUUGAUGGAUUUACUGCAAGCAGUACAAUGUGGCACCCCUGCCACAAUUGGCACAAUGUGGCAUCCCAGCCAUACAAAGAUGACAUCUGAGUGACUCCCUUCACCUGGUACAGUUCUGGAAACUACAAAGUUCACCAACCUGAUGCAGUUGCCUUUUUCAAAUAUAAAAGGAGAACAUGGCAUGGGCCAAGCCUGAAGAUGGCUCUUCAUUUCAUCUCUACAAGAUGGCCCUUCAUCUCAUCUCUACUCCCUUUCUUGACCAUAGACUGUAGAUUGUAGACCCAGAACAGCACAGCCACAGGAGACACUUACAUUGUGUAUCCUUCUUCCUUAUUCUCUUUCUGUGCAUAUUCCAAUCAUGAGACAAUUACACUACAUUCAGCCCAGGCCACGUAGCACUAUUUACCCAGCCUACUCUUUCUGUUUGUCUUUCACUAUAAAUAAAGAGCACACUGGAUGCCAGGCAGUCAUUAGCUCCUGACAGGCUAUGGCUCCACCUGGUCCCAGCAUUCAAGCAUAAUCUUGGUGUUUUUAUUUUUCUUCAUC
Molecule: long non-coding RNA, 945 nt
Organism: Heterocephalus glaber (naked mole-rat)
Lineage: Eukaryota; Metazoa; Chordata; Mammalia; Rodentia; Bathyergidae
Source: RefSeq, a predicted model, not a curated record